RNAcentral lists this ribosomal RNA (465 nucleotides) under uncultured bacterium. RNAcentral's name for it is "partial 16S ribosomal RNA". It matches the Rfam family "Bacterial small subunit ribosomal RNA", at positions 28 to 523 of the family's 1533-position model. The record is from RNAcentral.
GAUGAACGCUGGCGGCGUGCCUAACACAUGCAAGUCGAGCGAACCCUUCGGGGUGAGCGGCGGACGGGUGAGUAACGCGUGGGUAGCCUGCCCUGUACACACGGAUAACAUACCGAAAGGUAUGCUAAUACGAGAUAAUAUAUUUUAAUCGCAUGGUUAAGAUAUCAAAGCUCCGGCAGUACAGGGUGGACCCGCGUCUGAUUAGCUAGUUGGUGAGGUAAUGGCUCACCGAGGCGACGAUCAGUAGCCGACCUGAGAGGGUGAUCGGCCACACUGGAACUGGGACACGGGCCAGACUCCUACGGGAGGCAGCAGUGGGAAUAUUGCACAAUGGGCGAAAGCCUGAUGCAGCAACGCCACGUGAGCGAUGAAGGCCUUCGGGUCGUAAAGCUCUGUCCUCAAGGAAGAUAAUGACGGUACUUGAGGAGGAAGCCCCGGCUAACUACGUGCCAGCCGCCGCCGUAA